CAAUAGCGUAUACUAAUGUUGUUGCAGUUAAAAAGCUCGUAGUUGAACUUCUGGUAGGAGUGUCCCGGCCUUUUUGUUUUUACAAGUUGUAUGCUGUGUGACAUCUCUGGCCAUCCUUCUUCUUUGUUUAAAGAAGAUCUUUCACUGUAAAAAAAUUAGGGUGUUCAAAGCAAAAGUUUCUUUGGAAUAUAUUAGUAUGGGAUGAUAAGAUAGGCUCUAGAUGCUAUUUUGUUGGUUUGCACAUUUAGAGAAUGAUUAACAGGGACAGUUGGGGGUAUUCGUAUUUACAUGUCAGAGGUGAAAUUCUUGGAUUUUGGAAAGACGAACUACUGCGAAAGCAUUUACCAAGGAUGUUUUCAUUAA
RNAcentral lists this ribosomal RNA (363 nucleotides) under uncultured eukaryote. RNAcentral's name for it is "partial 18S ribosomal RNA". It matches the Rfam family "Eukaryotic small subunit ribosomal RNA", at positions 592 to 976 of the family's 1831-position model. The record is from RNAcentral.